UACGGGGGGAGCAAGCGUUGUUCGGAUUUACUGGGCGUAAAGGGCGCGUAGGCGGUCGUGACAAGUCACUUGUGAAAUCUCCGGGCUUAACUCGGAACGGUCAAGUGAUACUGUCGGGCUAGAGUCCGGAAGAGGCAAGUGGAAUUCCUGGUGUAGCGGUGAAAUGCGCAGAUAUCAGGAGGAACACCGGUGGCGAAGGCGGGUCUCUGGGCCGAAAUUGACGCUGAGGAGCGAAAGCGUGGGGAGCGAACAGG
Molecule: ribosomal RNA, 254 nt
Filed under: uncultured bacterium
Lineage: Bacteria
Description: partial 16S ribosomal RNA
Rfam family: Bacterial small subunit ribosomal RNA
Source: RNAcentral